Mus musculus (house mouse) is the source of this 331-nucleotide long non-coding RNA. RefSeq annotates it as predicted gene, 39617. Lineage: Eukaryota; Metazoa; Chordata; Mammalia; Rodentia; Muridae. The transcript has 3 exons. The record is from RefSeq and is a predicted model, not a curated record.
UUGACAGAGCAAAAGGCCACAGCAAACAGGAGAGUUGCAAAGAAGCAUGGACCUCCCAUCCUGCCAGGGGCUGACCUCCAUCCUACCCAGGAUAAGCCACAUCCUGUCAAAUGGAUUUCAUGGUAGAUGACAGAGGAUUUUGUCACAUGAAAAGGAUGACUACCACUGUCUUCUUCAAAUGUGCUACUUACAUGCUGGCUUUUGGUCAGUGACAGCCAACAAGAGCAAAUCACAGGCUGGGCAAUAGCACACGCCCUAGUGUGCUUUCGAUUACUGUGAUGGAGCCAAGGAUGAAGUCGAGAACAGCUGUCACAUCCCAGAAUUCUUUGCA